Molecule: ribosomal RNA, 402 nt
Filed under: uncultured bacterium
Lineage: Bacteria
Description: bacterial SSU rRNA
Rfam family: Bacterial small subunit ribosomal RNA
Source: RNAcentral
UCGGGAAUUUUGGGCAAUGGGCGAAAGCCUGACCCAGCAACGCCGCGUGAGGGAUGAAGUAUUUCGGUAUGUAAACCUCGAAAGAAUGGGAAGAAUAAAUGACGGUACCAUUUAUAAGCUCCGGCUAACUACGUGCCAGCAGCCGCGGUAAUACGUAGGGAGCAAGCGUUGUUCGGAUUUACUGGGCGUAAAGGGCGCGUAGGCGGCGCGGUAAGUCACUUGUGAAAUCUCUGAGCUUAACUCAGAACGGCCAAGUGAUACUGCUGUGCUAGGGUGCGGAAGAGGCAACCGGAAUUCUUGGUGUAGCGGUGAAAUGCGUAGAUAUCAAGAGGAACACCUGAGGCGAAGGCGGGUUGCUGGGCCGGCACUGACGCUGAUGCGCGAAAGCCAGGGGAGCAAACG